ACCUGAUCCAGCCAUGCCGCGUGUGUGAUGACGGCCUUAGGGUUGUAAAGCACUUUCAGCAGUGAAGAUAAUGACAUUAACUGCAGAAGAAGCCCCGGCUAACUUCGUGCCAGCAGCCGCGGUAAUA
Molecule: ribosomal RNA, 127 nt
Filed under: uncultured bacterium
Lineage: Bacteria
Description: partial 16S ribosomal RNA
Rfam family: Bacterial small subunit ribosomal RNA
Source: RNAcentral